RNAcentral lists this small nuclear RNA (151 nucleotides) under Prolemur simus (greater bamboo lemur). Its description in RNAcentral is "U2 spliceosomal RNA (ENSPSMG00000022080.1)". It matches the Rfam family "U2 spliceosomal RNA". From Rfam's summary of the family: U2 is a small nuclear RNA (snRNA) component of the spliceosome (involved in pre-mRNA splicing). Complementary binding between U2 snRNA (in an area lying towards the 5' end but 3' to hairpin I) and the branchpoint sequence (BPS) of the intron results the bulging out of an unpaired adenosine, on the BPS, which initiates a nucleophilic attack at the intronic 5' splice site, thus starting the first of two transesterification reactions that mediate splicing. Lineage: Eukaryota; Metazoa; Chordata; Mammalia; Primates; Lemuridae. The record is from Rfam by way of RNAcentral.
AUCGCCUCUCAGCCUUUUGGCUAAGAUCAAGUGUAGUAUCUGUUCCUAUCAGUUUAAUACCUGGUAUAUCCUAAAAACUUUUAAAAAAUCUAGUGGUAUUUACCACAAGACAAUGUGAGUAAAGAAUCACAUGUGGAACACAUUAAAAUUU